Molecule: long non-coding RNA, 975 nt
Organism: Mus musculus (house mouse)
Lineage: Eukaryota; Metazoa; Chordata; Mammalia; Rodentia; Muridae
Product: predicted gene, 29686
Exons: 5
Source: RefSeq, marked validated
UUCUCGGAAAAAAAAAAUGAAUGCAUGAAGAAUAGCCAGGGGAGACUGCUAUUAAUUUUCCCUGGGGUGUGGAGAACGGACGGAAGGAGGAGGGAUUCAGACAGUAGGUCCAACCAUGCGAACGACAGCGUCACUUGGCAAAGAACAUCCCUUCAGUCCUCGGAGACGAUGACACUGCAGGAACACCUCACCUCCUCACAGUUCCGGAAGCCUUAUAAGAAACCUGGCUGGACUCUAAGUUCACUAUACCUUUAAAAGCUUCCAGUGACUGCCUGCCCUAUUCAGGUAUAUUGAAAUCCUGAUACCCAGUAACUUGGAAGCAGAAGAAAGGCUCUGGGGAACAGAAAAAGAAAAGGAAAAUGAAAAAGAAAAGGAAAAGACCAUAUCCUGAAGACAGCGAUUUGUUUAGAAGUGUAAAUACAGACAGCAAACCAGUGGCUGACAGACGCUGAGAUUUUAAUGGCUGUCAUGAACAUAAAUGAUGUGAGUCAGAGGCAAGCUCAAGAUUUGCUAAGCCCAUAUCAGGGGUCACAAGGAUGCGAGUGGACAUAUGGAGAUGGGCAAGUGAAUAUGGUGCAUUAUGUGAGCCUCCCAAAUAAUCCACAAAAAUAUUAUAUUGGCAAAAAAGGAGAGAGAGAAAAGAAGAAAACUGUGGUCAAAGACAACAGAAAUUAAACUCAUGUCAAUUUAUCUCUGUAAGUGUCUGUGAAGAGAUAGGCACUAAUCAGAAAUUUUGACUUUGGGUCCAUGGAAGUACACAAGAGCUGGUGAAUCAUGGAGGCCUUUGAGGGGUUUGAAAGGAGGUUCUUGGGAAAUAACGUUGCUGGGUAGUGAUUGGAAGAGGAGACUCUGUACUUGAAUUUGACUUGAAGUGAAUUAGGGUGACGAUCUUUAACAGGUGGCCCUUAUAUUUGGGAAUGGAAUGAGACUUAGAACUGAUCGUGAGAAAUAAAAAGGAUUAUAGAUGUCAAAACA